GGAGAGGUGGCUGAGUUUGGCCGAAGGCGCACGACUGGAAAUCGUGUAGACGAUUCCUCGUCUCGUGGGUUCAAAUCCCACCCUCUCCG
RNAcentral lists this transfer RNA (89 nucleotides) under Sporanaerobacter acetigenes DSM 13106. It matches the Rfam family "tRNA". From Rfam's summary of the family: Transfer RNA (tRNA) molecules are approximately 80 nucleotides in length. The record is from Rfam by way of RNAcentral. Lineage: Bacteria; Bacillati; Bacillota; Tissierellia; Tissierellales; Sporanaerobacteraceae.